Molecule: transfer RNA, 73 nt
Filed under: Acidimicrobiales bacterium
Lineage: Bacteria; Bacillati; Actinomycetota; Acidimicrobiia; Acidimicrobiales
Also listed under: 1 other name
Description: tRNA-Gln
Rfam family: tRNA
About the family: Transfer RNA (tRNA) molecules are approximately 80 nucleotides in length. Their secondary structure includes four short double-helical elements and three loops (D, anti-codon, and T loops).
Source: RNAcentral
UCGGGGGUGGCGCAACUGGCAGCGCGCGUGAUUCUGGUUCACGAGGUUGGAGGUUCGAGCCCUCCCCCCCGAG